This is a long non-coding RNA of Sapajus apella (tufted capuchin), 2139 nucleotides long. RefSeq lists it as uncharacterized. The transcript is spliced from 2 exons. NCBI's taxonomy places the organism in Eukaryota, Metazoa, Chordata, Mammalia, Primates, Cebidae. The record is from RefSeq and is a predicted model, not a curated record.
CCAUGUUGCCCAGGUUGGUCUUGAACUCCUGGGCUCAAGUCAUCUGUCCAGCUCAGCCUCCCGAGGUGCUGGGGCUACAAGGCUUGAGCCACCUUGCCCAGCCCAGGAAUGCUAAUUUUUUCUCAGAAAGAAGUUCUGCCCUGAUCACGUUCUUUUCCAGUGCUUUCAAGGAACUAAGCAGAACUCAGAAGAAAGCUCUUCUAAAGCAGAUCUACACCCUGAAGUGGCUGCAGAGAGCAGCCUCCAGAACUGGUGUCUGUGGCAGCUAAGACUUCCACAGUGCAGAGCCUGUGGCAGGUCUGGCCAGGAUGGGUGGAGAGGCAGCCAUCAUUGCACAGGUCCAAGAGCUUGAGGAAUGCAAGGUCUGUGUGUGAACUCAUGAGUAGGUCAUAGUCCAGCCUUUCAGGGCGGGGCAGGGGUAACAAACCCAGGAAGAGAUGACAGACACCAAACUAAUUGCACCAUUUUGCAAAUCUCAUUCAGCCAGGUCCAGAGGAAUGGAUGUUGGAGGAAAAUGAUUGUAAAUCCGGUGGAACUGAGAAAAUCACCCUGGGUCCUGGACUGGAGGGGCUGGUGGGCUGUUUGGGAGGGACUGCUUGUGCUCUGUUUCUUAAAACCAAGGCUCGUGCAGCCCCGGGGAAGGAAGGUAACAGACUAGAAACUCCAUGGCUUACUGGGGAAAAGGCAUCCAAAGCCCGAUGGAGACAAGGAUAUACAGUGCUCCGUCUGCCCUGCUGUCACCUAACUGUCCUGGGAGAUGUCCUGCAGGACACCCCUCACCAAGACGUUAAGGGGCUUACUGUGAGGUGGGGAGGGGAGUGACAACACCCUUGGAAACUCAGAAGGCCACUGCGGACGAAGGGGACAAAGCUGCCAAGAAACCGAGUGAGGAGAUCCUGGGGCGGCACAAGCCGCAUGGCCGGCCAGGCAGGCGAGGUCACUGUGCUGGGCAAGCAGAGUGGUGUGGCCUCACAGACCUUGGACUCCUUUGACAAGGAGUUUCCCUCCAGGACAAAAGCAGAGGGCAGCACAAGGGUGAAGGUUCGGCAGUGAUGGAAAAACCCUGGGUCUCAGGCCUGGCCUUGGUCACAGUCCAGGAGGGUUGAAGUUCUUCUUGCAAUUCCUGGAUAUGAGUCAUUCCCAGACCCUCUGCUAGAGGGACACAUCUGACGGAAACACCCAAGGCUGCAGAUGGCUUCCCCCAGCCUCCCCCGAAGGGAGGCAAAGCCCUUGGCAGGAUGGCUGUGCACUGGAGGAAGGGAUUGCUGGGCACUGGCUCUGAGGUGAUGCUACUUCCCAGACACUGUGAUGUCUCCACAGUCCCCUGAUCAGAGGAGGGCUUUGGAAGUUAGGUUAGACAUGCUUCCGGGUCACAGCCCAUCUCACAAUGGACACAUGAUAGUAAUAACAGACAUGACUAAUUUGGAGGUAAAAAACAACAUGGACAAAAGCCAGGAUGAGAGAAGCAACUGGAGGUUAAGUAUUCUAAAUUCUUUUUGUUACACAGAAGGAAUAUAGAGACACUAAUUAACUUUAGACCUUGUUAAUUAUGCAUGUGGAAAGUUUAUAAAAAUGACAGAAAAUGCAUGAAUUCCAAACCAAUGGGAGUUGGAGGAAAGGGGAAUAAAGAAAACUUGAUAAAUCCAAUAGAGGCAGAAAGAAAAAAGCAGCAUAGAGGAAAAAGUGCAAACCAACAGCACAAAAUAAGAUGGUAAAAAUCAGUUAAAGCAUAUCAUUAAUUACAACAUACAUACUAUUUAAAAUUGAAAAUUGUCAGACUGGGUCAAAAAAAAAAUCUAGCUGUAUAUGCUAUUUGCCAGAAGCACACUGAAGAAUAUAAAACAGAAAGGAUAAAAGGAAAACAAUGGAAAGAGAUAUAUGAGGCCAUGAAGAAGUGUGUUGUAGCUAUCUUCACUGUUGGAAAAAAUAAAAUUAAGACAAAAGGCUUAAUUAAAGAGUGGUCUUAUAUAAUGAUAAAAGGAUGAAUUUAUCAGGAAGCUGUAAUAAUUCUAAGCUUGUUAGCAUUUAAUGACAAAGUCUAUAAAACCAAAACUGGCAAAAUUUAAAGAAGAGACUGACAAAGCCACAGCCACAGCAGAGAUUUGAACACAUCUCUCUCAGUCAUUUAUAAAUCAAGCA